Molecule: ribosomal RNA, 308 nt
Filed under: uncultured bacterium
Lineage: Bacteria
Description: partial 16S ribosomal RNA
Rfam family: Bacterial small subunit ribosomal RNA
Source: RNAcentral
GAGACAGCAGCAGCCACGGUAAUACAGAGGGUGCGAGCGUUAAUCGGAUUUACUGGGCGUAAAGCGUGCGUAGGCGGCUAAUUGAGUCGGAUGUGAAAUCCCCGAGCUUAACUUGGGAAUUGCAUUCGAUACUGGUUAGCUAGAGUGUGGGAGAGGAUGGUAGAAUUCCAGGUGUAGCGGUGAAAUGCGUAGAGAUCUGGAGGAAUACCGAUGGCGAAGGCAGCCAUCUGGCCUAACACUGACGCUGAGGUACGAAAGCAUGGGGAGCAAACAGGAUUAGAUACCCGCGUAGUCCCUGUCUCUUAUAC